GACAGAGGGGGCAAACGUUGUUCGGAAUUACUGGGCGUAAAGCGAGUGUAGGCGGUUUGGUAAGUCGGAUGUGAAAGCUCUGGGCUCAACCCAGGAAGUGCACUCGAAACUGCCAAGCUAGAGUAACGGAGAUGUUGGUGGAAUUCUCGGUGUAGAGGUGAAAUUCGUAGAUAUCGAGAGGAACACCGGUGGCGAAGGCGGCCAACUGGACGAAUACUGACGCUGAGACUCGAAAGCGUGGGGAGCAAACAGG
This 253-nucleotide ribosomal RNA is filed under the name uncultured bacterium. RNAcentral describes it as "partial 16S ribosomal RNA". It matches the Rfam family "Bacterial small subunit ribosomal RNA", at positions 524 to 776 of the family's 1533-position model. The record is from RNAcentral.